RNAcentral lists this ribosomal RNA (497 nucleotides) under uncultured bacterium. RNAcentral's name for it is "partial 16S ribosomal RNA". It matches the Rfam family "Bacterial small subunit ribosomal RNA", at positions 28 to 507 of the family's 1533-position model. The record is from RNAcentral.
GAUGAACGCUGGCGGCGUGCCUAAUACAUGCAAGUCGAGCGAACAGACGAGGAGCUUGCUCCUCUGACGUUAGCGGCGGACGGGUGAGUAACACGUGGAUAACCUACCUAUAAGACUGGGAUAACUUCGGGAAACCGGAGCUAAUACCGGAUAAUAUAUUGAACCGCAUGGUUCAAUAGUGAAAGACGGUUUUGCUGUCACUUAUAGAUGGAUCCGCGCCGCAUUAGCUAGUUGGUAAGGUAACGGCUUACCAAGGCAACGAUGCGUAGCCGACCUGAGAGGGUGAUCGGCCACCUUAGAACUUAGCCACGGUCCAGACUCCUGCGGGAGGCAGCAGUAGGGAAUCUUCCGCAAUGGGCGAAAGCCUGACGGAGCAACGCCGCGUGAGUGAUGAAGGUCUUCGGAUCGUAAAACUCUGUUAUUAGUGAAGAACAAAUGUGUAAGUAACUAUGCACGUCUUGACGGUACCUAAUCAGAAAGCCACGGCUAACUACGUG